UGACAUUGUUGGAAAACAAAAAAGAUAAUCUACAGACCCAGAGAAAACAUUUGCGAAUCACAUACCUGAGAAAGGACUUCUAUCCAAAAUAUAUAAAUCACCUUCAAAACUAAACUGCAAUAAAAAGCAACUCCCAGAAUUGACCAAUCACCUAAGAGAGUAGGAAGAGCUUGCACUCCUUCAGACCAAUCAGUAGCCACAUGAGUAUUGGAUUCCCCACCCUAUCACAGACAACCUCCAAUCAGCCUAUAGUAAUAGAAAGGCAAGAUAGGAGGCGGGUCCAGCAUGGUCUCCACGGUAACCCAUGGCGGGUUGGAGUGACGGAGAGCCUCCUUGUACCCAGAUCCAGAUGCCCUGAUGGGAGGCGUUUGAAAUUUUGCAGGACAAGCCCCCCAGAGACCACAUGUGCCUGUCCAUUUGUGCCUUACUCCUGUGUUUUCCCAUAGGCAUUGUAGCCUUGAUCUUCUCUCUCCAGACAAGGCACAGCAACAAGUGGAAUAACCGAGCCUUGGCAGCUGAGACGUCCCAGCAAGUCUACUACAUGGCAGUCUUGGGGAUUGUCUUGGGAAGCAUCAUCACACUCGCCAUCUUGAUUUUCCUCCUGGUGGACUUAUUUUCUCGUUAACCUCCUUUUCAGCAAACCACUAAAAAUAUAUAACAGUGUUACAUA
Panthera uncia (snow leopard) is the source of this 670-nucleotide long non-coding RNA. RefSeq lists it as uncharacterized. Lineage: Eukaryota; Metazoa; Chordata; Mammalia; Carnivora; Felidae. The transcript is spliced from 3 exons. The record is from RefSeq and is a predicted model, not a curated record.